Molecule: long non-coding RNA, 4194 nt
Organism: Felis catus (domestic cat)
Lineage: Eukaryota; Metazoa; Chordata; Mammalia; Carnivora; Felidae
Exons: 2
Source: RefSeq, a predicted model, not a curated record
UCCAGGCUAUGAGCUGUUAGCACAGAGCCCGAUGUGGGGCUUGAAUCCACGAACCAUGAGAUAAUGACCUGAGCCAAAGUUGGACACCUAACCAACUGAGCCACCCAGGUGCCCCCAGUCUCGGCUUCUAAGGGGAAGAAUGUCUACUAGGAUAUAUGGCAACUUUUAAAAAACAUAAAAACCAUUUUGCUGAAGUACAAUAUGCAAAGAAAAAAGUGCACACAUUCUAAUGGUACAGCCUGAUGAAUCCUCGGAAGGUGAGUGGCCCAUGUCACCAGCUCCCAGAACAAGAAGCACAUCAUCCUCUGUGCCCCAAAGUCCUCCCCUCUCAUACUCCCUCCCUCCUUCACCUAACCCCUCUCAAAGCUAACACUAUUUCGACUUCUGAUGGUGUAGACAAGUUCUGUCAGUACAGCAACUUUUACCCACUAGGAGUUAUUUCUGGGGUUUGGCAUUUCUCCCUUAACCUCACACACUUAGAUGAGGUUUGCAUUUGUGACAAAUGCUUGUGUUUUACAGGACAGAGUGAUGGGACCAUUUUCUCCUCCCUACUUUCCUGUGGGGCCACAGAGGGGGAACUUCUGCCCUCUUGGAAAUGUCAGGAAAGUAACUCUUCUCCUUCCUUCCCCUCCUUCACUCACUCCCCCUAUGAGUGGUGGAGUGACAUCUGAUUCAUGGGAUGGACACAGGCCCUUAUUCCUUAUCCCUAGUCUUCCCUUGGGGGAGGACCAAGUCCCAGACAGGUAGAGUAUCUUAAAAUGGUCAAGAGACAUACUGGAUUCAAAUCCCAGCUCCAUCAUUUACAAGCUGGGUGACCUAGGGCAAGUUGCUUAACUUCUCUGUGCCUUAGUUUCCCCAUAUUUAAAACAGGACCAUAAUAGAUCCUGUCUCAAGGAACUGUUAAAAGAUUAUCAAACAAAGGGUGCCUGGGUGGCUCAGUCCGUUAAGCAUCUGACUUCAGCUCAGGUCAUGAUCUCAUGGUUCAUGAGUUCAAGCCCCACGUCAGGCUCUGUGCUGACAGCUCUGAGCCUGGAGCAUCUUCAGAUUCUGUGUCUCCCUUUCUCUCUGCCCCUCCCCCGCUCAAGCUCUGUCUUGCUCUCUCAAAAAUGGAUAAAUGUUAAAAAAUAAAAGAUUAUCAAAUAAAUUGAGAAAGCUUCAUGGGGAGGGCUGUGGAGCCUGGCUACUGUUAUUAUUAUUAUUAAUGGUCUGUGGUCCCACAGGAGGGAGACUGUGUCCAUGCAGGACCCACAGCCUGCCAAUGAGAGGUGCCCCCCAGCAUAAUGCCCCAUCAGUGCAGGUAAAUGGGUCACGGCUUGGUGAAUGAAUGAAUGAACAAACGAAUGAAUGUUAUUGCAGAGGCCUCUAGGCACCUCCCCUGCCCUUACAGUGCCCUCUGAGAGUUUCCUUAUCUUAAGCGAGAGGGGCCAUUCUAACUACCUCACAGGGCUUGGGACUUGAUAGCGAGAGAUAGUGAAGGUUGGUGAAUAAAUGAAUUAAUAAUGAGAAGCACUAAGAAUCAAGUCAGGCUCACAACGCAACAAGGUGAAUCAUUCUCACCCAUUUUGUUUCCUGCCUGGAGGUUCCUGACUGCUCCCACACCUAUCCCUCCACCUCAUCCAACCCCCUUCCUUCCACAUGGGCUACCAGCGAGACUUCUGUGUAUCCCCAAGUCCCUUGAAUGGCUCCCCGCUGCCUGUAAGGCUCACCCAACCCCCGUGGCAUGGAACCUGGCAGCAAGAGCGCUCCUGUUAAAACCUAAGCUGGAACAGUUCCCUCCUCUGUCCAGAGCUCUCCUAUAGCUCUCGCUGCACUCAGAGUAAAAAAAUAUAAUUCUUACCAUGGUCAACAUCUCCUCCUACUCUCCCACUCUUCUCCGGCCAACUGACCCCUACUGCUGUUCCACACACGUGCCAGGCACACUCCUACACCAGGGCCUUUGCACUUGCUGUGCCCCUCGGCCUAGAACCUCUUCCCAAUGGACACCCGCCAGUCUCACUCUCCCACCUCCUUCAUGCCUUUACUCCGGUAUCUCCCUCUCAGUGGGGACUUCCCUGGACACCUUUCCUAAAAUGGCAACUCCUACCCCACUCGAUACUCUUGAACCCCCUUCCUGCCUUAUUUUUGUCGGUAGCACUUAUUACCACCCAGCACGAUUUGUAAUUUAGCUACUCAUUUUGCUUAUUGUCUAUCUCAGUGACUGUAAGUCCAAUGAAGGGAGGUGCCAUUUCUAUCCGAUCCACUGUUGUGCCUCAGUGUCUUGAACACUGCCUAGCACAUAGUGUGUGCUCAAGAAACAGUUGUGGAAUGAAUGAAUGAUCUCAUUCCAGGCAGAUUUUCACCCACAUCCCCCACUGCUCUCCCCUCAAGUCCAAUACCCCCCCCCCCGACACCGCCCAACUAUGCCAUGCUACAUCAUGCCUCUGUGCCUUUGCAAAUGCUGUCCCCUCUGCCUGGUCGGAGGAAAAUAUGUUUCCUUCCCUGCUCUAUAAAUUCUUACCCCUAAAACCCGAGGUCUGUCGUUUCCCUAUCUCCAGAAUAUUCUAGAAUAAGCCUCUAGGCCCACAUCGUUAACUUCUUCCUUUGAGCCUUCCACUGUAGCCAGUACUUGUUUCUGCACUUUCAUGGUUUCCUCCCUCCCCUCAGUGGGAGUCCGUAAAUCGCUUUCCUGGCUUAAACCAAUCUCAGUUGGAUUUCUGACAGAUGAUUGGGAGAUGGGACCCUCGUGUUGCUGAGAGUGGUUGUAUGAUUUUCCUAAUGCAUAAAAUAAAUAAAGAACCAUUGUUAAUAUUUAACAUAUUGAUGUCUUAUGUUCCCCAAAGAAAACAUUAGGUGUUUCAAUGAAGGAACGUGCUUGAUAACUCUGCUUGGUUUCACAAAUAUUAUUGGGAUUAAAACCCAGGGAGUGGUUAGUGGAUGGACGGGUAUACGGACGGAUGGCUGAGUGGAUCGGUGAGUGGACAAGCGGAUGGACAGAGAUGAACAGACGGAUGGGUAGGCAUGUGGGUGGGUGAACAGUAACCAAAUCCUGACCACGGCCAGUGGAUGGAUACAAUGGGUCCGUGAAUCAAUGGAUGGGUGGCUGGACAGGUGGGAAUGUGAAUGGAUAGGACGAUCAGUGAGUGGAUGGAUAAGUGGACAGACAGAUGAGGUAGAUGAAUGGAAGGGCGGAUGGAGGCAUGGGUGGAACGGGCAGUAUGAACGGGCAAAUGAAAGGUUGGGUGGGUGAAUGAGGGGACAGAUGAAUGAAUGGUUACUUUGAGUUUAUGAGUGAAGGUUUUGGGGUAUGUGUGGAUGGAGCCACACAUCACAUGGAGACCCUCCGUGCCAUGUCUGACUACCACAGGGAUAUGUCCUGUUUCCAGGGGGAGGCUUCUUGGGGGCUCACAUUCCCCAAACAGACUUUCGGGAGGCGGAGGAAUUCUGAGGCAAGGAACUGACGACCCGCUGAGAUCUGCAGGGCGGGGGUUUGUGAAAGAGGAAGGAACCGUCCAACAUACCUGCGAGUCCUCUGACCCGUCAUCUACGUCCGCCGAGGUCCACUCCUGGGCCAGCCUGGUCUCUUGAGAGGACAGACCUGAGGGAAGGAGAAAGGAGCCAGGAGCCUCCCGCAAAACCCAGUGAGGUUUAAUCCACGGAAUGAAACCAGGAUGAAGCAGGCUUCCCCAGCUUCCAGCCCCUGGUGGAGCAAACUCCCCACAUGAGGACAUCAACGUCUUUCUCGCUCCUUAGCUGGUGAGAACUGGGGGUCAGGCCAAAGAUCGGCAUUUUCCAGUCUUCCUGCACCCAGGCCCUGCUAGGAGCCCCCAACCCCCUCCCCACUACCAGGACGGACACCCAUAGCAUCCACGCCUCUGCCCGGCGGCUGUUCCUCCCCUCUGGGAGAAGGGAAGACCCUGCCCCAGUAGAAGGUCCAGUCCCCAUUCUGCUGCGGGGCUGCCUUUCGGGGGUCCGCGUCUCAGCAAAUGGCACCACCCCUUGUCCAGCAGUUUGAGCCCAAACCCCAGGCAUUAUCCUUGGUGUCUCUCUAGUCCACCCCUCCUCACCUCCAUCAGCAAGAACUCACGUUCUCCCUCUGGUCACCAUAACCUCCUGGAACACAGCAAGCUUGUCGCCACGGAGGGUCAUUGCAUGUGUGGCCCUGGCUUCUUUCAAAACUUGUUUGUUGUUGGUUUCUCCACUAAAAUCUGAGCUCUA